RNAcentral lists this ribosomal RNA (1125 nucleotides) under Triticum aestivum (bread wheat). Its description in RNAcentral is "partial small subunit ribosomal RNA". Lineage: Eukaryota; Viridiplantae; Streptophyta; Magnoliopsida; Poales; Poaceae. The record is from RNAcentral.
AUGGCGAUGAUCGGGUGGCCGGACCUCCCGCCCGAGCUGUUGGGCGACGUGCUCUCCCGCUUGCCGUCCUACCUCGAGCACGCCCGCGUCCGCGCCGUGUGCCGCUCCUGGCGCUCCGGCGCGCGGACGCAGCCGCCGCCGCCGCUGCUCCCGUGGGCCGGCCUCCGCAGCGGCGCCUUCCUCGACCUGGCCGAGGGUGCGCUUGACCGUCUGCCCGUCCCAGAAGCCGACGUCGUCCGCCGGGUCUCCACAGGCCGUCUGCUGUUCCUGGUGCGCCGCGACGGCACGUGCUCCUUGAUGGACCCUCACUCCGGGGACGCCACCCCUCAGCACAUCGAGCCUGAGUACCUCUGUGCCCGCCUCCACAUCCGCAAGGUGGUCGUGUCCGAUGACCUCGUCGCCGUCCUGAUCAGGCGUUUGCACGCGAGAAAUAUCGUCAGCAUCUACACUCGUGGCCGAACAAUGCGCAUGGCGUGGGUGCCUCCUCCUGAGUUCCCCGGAAGCGCCGUCGACAUGGCGCUCUUCAAAGGGAAGCUCUACGUGCUCGCGUCGGAAGUGCUGCGCCGCAGCUACGAGCUCCACGCCCUGGACAUGGCCACCGGAGAAUCCGUGCAAUGCAUACGUAGCAGCACGCCGCCAACAAGAGUCGAGGAGGGCUACAACCGCGUACGUGAAGUCUACCUGGUCUCCUCCGGCGACCGCCUGCUCAUGGUCGAACACACGAUCGACCACAUGACCUGUCGACAGACUUACUUGCCGUCUCAGUUUGAGGUCUUCGAGGCCGCCGACCUGGACCUAGGCGACGGCCAUGGACGGUGGAGGGAGGUGGACACGCUCAUGGGACGCGCCCUCUUCGUCAGCCAGGGAUGCUCCGAGUCACUCCCCGCCAGCGGCAUCGGAGCUAGGGAAGAUUGCAUCUACUUUAUGAGCGAGCGUCCAAGGCUCGGUCCAAGGGCCAGGAACGCUACCACGACGGAGCUCGAAUCGGGGGUGUACAACAUGAGAGAUGGGACGACAAUAACGCCGUUGCCACCGUUGGAGACGGCAACGGAAGCGUCGGUGGACGAACUCGUUGGCCUGUAUUUACACAAAUCAUCUGGUCGCAUGAACCAAAGAGAAAAAUGA